This 207-nucleotide long non-coding RNA is filed under the name Panax ginseng (ginseng). Its description in RNAcentral is "long non-coding RNA (PGIN_LNC000074)". The record is from RNAcentral. Lineage: Eukaryota; Viridiplantae; Streptophyta; Magnoliopsida; Apiales; Araliaceae.
CUCAUUACAAUUAUUAUCACACUAUUUCACAUAAUAAUGAGGACUACUAAAGCCACUUAUCCUGGACCAUCACUCCAUUUCCUAACUUGUCCCAGCUAUAUUCUCAUUUCCUGAAGAGAACAAUGAAAGAAAAGGGUGAGCUUAACUAGCCCAGUAAGAAAUAUCAUGACUAUGAUAAUGCAGAAUAAAUUAUCCUUAGCCUUCAAU